This 317-nucleotide long non-coding RNA is filed under the name Lathyrus oleraceus (garden pea). Its description in RNAcentral is "Pisum sativum (pea) long non-coding RNA (PSAT_LNC014017)". Lineage: Eukaryota; Viridiplantae; Streptophyta; Magnoliopsida; Fabales; Fabaceae. The record is from RNAcentral.
AUCUCUCUCUGAACACCGCCCAAGUGAUCUCAGCAUUCCCAGCAGCUUCCAACACAGUGCGGGUAGCAACCCACCAAUCAUCUGCUUCCUCUGACAGCAUAUGCGUACCAAACCUGACCUUCUGGUUAUCGGCACACUCAGUCACUCGGAAGAUUCUCUCGAUCUCCUUCAACCACUUCUGAGCACCAUCUGGAUCGUAUGCUCCCUUGAACAUUGGAGGAUUGUUCUUCUGGAACUCACUCAGUUGACGAGCAGCUCCCAUUCCCACAACAUUCGGAUUCCCUCCAAGUACUCCAGCUAGCAUACCCAGAGCCUCA